This is a non-coding RNA of Phalacrocorax carbo (great cormorant), 2240 nucleotides long. NCBI's taxonomy places the organism in Eukaryota, Metazoa, Chordata, Aves, Suliformes, Phalacrocoracidae. The record is from RefSeq and is a predicted model, not a curated record.
GUAGUGCGCCUCAGACAAGGCAGAUGAGAGCACAGCGUAGCUGGUCAUAGAGAAGCAGAAAGGAGAAAUAUUUUUGAAAGAAGCAGAAAAGAAAAAAACUCAAUUAAAAGUGCUGAAGCUUCCUGGACUCAUGAAACACAGGCUCCUGUUUUCCGGCAUCAAAGCUACAGGUUUCUAGAAAAUGAAAUUUUAAGUGCUGUUGGAGGACAUUUCUGAAGCAUCUGAUUUAAGCUCUACCUUACUUCAUUCCACCCCUAGGCUUUAGGAAAAUAUAAUUGAAAUCCUGUAGCCACCUGUACAAAUCCGUUCUUCUAGAACAUACUGACAGAUGCUAGAUGAUGUUAAAUCAUGGUACCCUUUUUUGGAAAAAUAUAAUGAUAUUGUUCAAAGUAAAAAUGAAUAUAAUAAAUAAUAUAUAUGGGGAAUGCUCGUAUGGAUUAUUACCGUUCAGGCUGUUAGUCACAAUACAAUGCAUGGCUACGUUUGCGUUGGGAAUUGGUAAGGCUCUUUUCUUGAAGCGGUUGAUCUCAAGCAAGAGUUCUGCCUUAGUUCAGUAAAACUCAUUAGCUGUAAACCAAAAUAUGUUCUGUACAGGCUUAGAUCUACUUUAACUAAGGAAAUAGGCUUUCUCACCCCUGUAGGUGAAAGUGAAAAAACACUUUAAAUUAGAUUUAAACCUAGCUUUUUGAACUUCUGUGAGGCAGAAUGGUUUUUAUGAAAGACCUAUAUUGGGCAUCGAGUACACGGAUGGAUUCUAACCAGCUGUCACCCUUGCUAUCAAAUCUCGAUAUUUUAUCAUAACUUUCAACACCUUUCAAGACAGCCCCAAAGCCACCAUCAGAUCUAUCAACAGGAUCCAGCACUGUUUCCCACAUUUUGUCCAGCAUCUGUGCCCCUUCUUUCUAAAUAUCUCGCUAAUAAUUUAAGCUUUAUUUUAUCUACACCGAACUCAUGUUUCUAAGGCUCUCUCCCGCUCAGCAGUGCUACAAAUUUAGUAAGGUAAUGACUCAUACCUUCACCUUUGUCACAGUCCUUGUCCUCUCACCUUCUUGAACUUUCAGGGCACUUCUAAUGGGUUGUGUAUGAACCACCAGAAAACUGCAUUCGACCAACAGCAACUAGAAAACAAAAUAUAAUUAUGGCUAUGCACUGAUCUUUAUUGUCUCCUGCACUCUGAGAUCAAAAUAACCUGUGUACUGAAUAUCAUUCUGUUACACACUGAAUGAUGUUUUGGAGCACGGUGUUACCAUAUAAGUAUCAUAAAUCACAUAUCACUGUCUGGGGUCAUGCCCAGAUAUUCCCAGGAGACCCUUGUUCUUGUGAGCCAAUGUAGCAUGUAAUGUUGGCCGCUCUGAAACUAAAAGUAAUCAGGCAAGAAAUCUCCUGAAUAAAUGUAAGUGUGGUAGCACAUUAUUCUGCUGAGCAGAAGGUAAUACAGGUCCAGUAGUGUCCUUAAACUAUAUUCCUUCCUAAAUGUCAUCACGCAGCUAUGCACCAGUCUUCACUGUAAGAAGGACUCUGAAAUUUUACUUUAAUUAUUUAAUGCUCUCAUUGCCUUAUCCUGAGGUAAAAGCAAAGUGAAACAGGUAUCUAAUUUUUUGGCAUAGUCAACUCACCAAGAAGUGAAGUCACAAGAGAAUUCAUGCCUUUUACUGACUUAAUAUGCGUUCUAUAGUAUAUCUCAACAGUGAAGGGUGAUUAUUAUAUUUUUUUCAUGAGUAUGAAAGUUUCAUAACUCAUAGGCAUCACAAGUGCCUUCAGAGUUUGAGAGUUAUUAAGGUCAGUCAUGAGAAAAAAAUAUAAUCACUUUUUACUGGUGAAAUAUUAAAUUUACUUUAUGAGAAAUAUUUUUUAUUGAUUACCAUUCCAAGAAUAGCAGGCAGCUAAUAAAGCACUCAGGAGCUUUUUGUCCAUCCUUCCAUCUUCCCAUGUUGAAAGUAAAAGAAUUGCUUGAGGGUGUUUAUAAAUUAGAUAGAAAAGCUUAGAAGUUGUUUAAGAGAAUACAGUUUUAUUUAAAUGCCUAAAAUAUUUUACUUCUCAUAUGUUAAAACAAAUUUGCCUUUCUUUCUUUCUUCUCUGAAUCAGACAUAAAGUGUUUUCUCACAGGUUCUAACCAUUAGAAAUCUUUAGCUGUAAUAAGCAUUUGGCUUCAUAAUAUAUUUAGAACUUUCACCCCUAACAAAAUUAUUGCAGACCAGGGCUGAUUCUAAUAAAACUAUCUAAAAUACAGUGGGCUUCAG